GAAAUGCGAUAAGUAAUGUGAAUUGCAGAAUUCAGUGAAUCAUCGAAUCUUUGUACGCACAUUGCGCCCGCCAGUAUUCUGGCGGGCAUGCCUGUUCGAGCGUCAUUACAACCCUCAGGCCCCCGGGCCUGGCGUUGGGGAUCGGCGGAAGCCCCCUGCGGGCACAACGCCGUCCCCCAAAUACAGUGGCGGUCCCGCCGCAGCUUCCAUUGCGUAGUAGCUAACACCUCGCAACUGGAGAGCGGCGCGGCCACGCCGUAAAACACCCAACUUCUGAAUGUUGACCUCGAAUCAGGUAGGAAUACCCGCUGAACUUAAGC
This 320-nucleotide unclassified non-coding RNA is filed under the name plant metagenome. RNAcentral describes it as "partial contains 5.8S ribosomal RNA, internal transcribed spacer 2, and large subunit ribosomal RNA". The stretch from base 1 to 105 matches the Rfam family "5.8S ribosomal RNA", at positions 50 to 154 of the family's 154-position model. The record is from RNAcentral.